GGGGGGGGGGGGGGGGGGGCUGGGGGCGGGGGGGGGGAGCGGGGAGGGGGUGCUGGGGUGGGGUGGUCGGGUGGCGAACGGGUGAGUAACGCGUGAGUAAGCUGCGCUUGACUUUGGGAGAACUUCGGGAAACUGGGGCUAAUACCGGAUAGGAGCUCCUGCUGCAUGGUGGGGGUGGGAAGGGUUCGGCGGUGGGGGAUUGACUCGCGGCUUAUCAGCGUGUUGGUGGGGUAGUGGCUUACCAAGGCUUUGACGGGUAGCCGGCCUGAGAGGGUGACCGGCCACAUUGGGACUGAGAUACGGCCCAGACUCCUACGGGAGGCAGCAGUGGGGAAUAUUGCACAAUGGGCGGAAGCCUGAUGCAGCAACGCCGCGUGCGGGAUGACGGCCUUCGGGUUGUAAACCGCUUUCGCCUGUGACGAAGCGUGAGUGACGGUAAUGGGUAAAGAAGCACCGGCUAACUACGUG
Molecule: ribosomal RNA, 468 nt
Filed under: uncultured bacterium
Lineage: Bacteria
Description: partial 16S ribosomal RNA
Rfam family: Bacterial small subunit ribosomal RNA (bases 58-468)
Source: RNAcentral